UACGGGGGGGGCAAGCGUUGUUCGGAAUUACUGGGCGUAAAGGGCUCGUAGGUGGCCAACUAAGUCAGACGUGAAAUCCCUCGGCUUAACCGGGGAACUGCAUCUGAUACUGGAUGGCUUGAGUUUGGGAGAGGGACGCGGAAUUCCAGGUGUAGCGGUGAAAUGCGUAGAUAUCUGGAGGAACACCGGUGGCGAAGGCGGGUCUCUGGGCCGAUACUGACGCUGAGGAGCGAAAGCGUGGGGAGCGAACAGG
This 253-nucleotide ribosomal RNA is filed under the name uncultured bacterium. RNAcentral's name for it is "partial 16S ribosomal RNA". It matches the Rfam family "Bacterial small subunit ribosomal RNA", at positions 524 to 776 of the family's 1533-position model. The record is from RNAcentral.